This 72-nucleotide transfer RNA is filed under the name Camelus bactrianus (Bactrian camel). It matches the Rfam family "tRNA". Rfam says of the family: Transfer RNA (tRNA) molecules are approximately 80 nucleotides in length. Their secondary structure includes four short double-helical elements and three loops (D, anti-codon, and T loops). Lineage: Eukaryota; Metazoa; Chordata; Mammalia; Artiodactyla; Camelidae. The record is from Rfam by way of RNAcentral. RNAcentral also lists the same sequence under 2 other names.
GAGGGUAUAGCUCAGUGAUAGAGUGCAUGCCUAGCAUGCACAAGGUCCUGGGUUCAAUCCCCAGUAUCUCCA